CUCAGUUAUCAGUGCUUCGGUACUGACAUGAUUUUGACGAUAUCAUUCUGGAAUUGUUCGUUUAUAGUUUGAAAAAUUAUUAUGAAUCUAAUAUGUUCAUGUAAUAUAUAAUCACACCUUCAGGCAAUACUGACCUUAGAUGGUUUUGGCUAUUAUUUCAGUUUCCUUUUGGUCAUAAAGAUAUUCUCGUGAAUUGACAAUUCAUAAAGUGUUAUUUUAAUUGUUUUACAGUUGCAGAGAGAUGACAGUCCAUAAUAUUCAAUUUAUCAGAUCAAAUUUAUUCGUUCAUAGUGUAUUAAUGUACGUUUUUGAUUGAGUUAAGCCUGCCAAUUGAUAUUUUAUCGUGUGUUUUUCUAUGUUGUGAUGUUAUGCUGUUGUUUCAGAAAAAAGGAGAAGGUUUGGAUCCAUUAAAACGUUUAAUCCCGCUGCAAAAUGUUUGCACCUGUCCUAAGUCAGGAAUCUGAUGUACAGUAGUUGUCGUUUGUUUGUGUAAUUUAUACGUGUUUCUCGUUUCUCGUUUUUUUUUUUUUGUUUUUUUUUUUUAUUUCAUAUAGAUUAGACCGUUGGUUUUCCCGUUUGAAUGGUUUUACACUAGUAAUUUUGGGGCCCUUUAUAGCUUGUUGUUCGGUGUGAGCCAAGGCUCCGUGUUGAAGGCCGUACAUUGACCUAUAAUGGUUUACUUUUUUAAAAUUGUUAUUUGGAUGGAUAGUUGUCUCAUUGGCACUCACACCACAUCUGUCUAUAUCUAUAAACCAGUGAUGUAUUCGAAUGUGGAUUUAUUCGAUUCUUAAAUAUAC
Molecule: long non-coding RNA, 797 nt
Filed under: Mytilus galloprovincialis (Mediterranean mussel)
Lineage: Eukaryota; Metazoa; Mollusca; Bivalvia; Mytilida; Mytilidae
Source: RNAcentral